GACGGGCCCGCGACAAGCAGCGGAGCGUGUGGUUAAUUCGAUGUUACACGAAGAACCUUACCAGGGUUGACAUGCAAGUGGUAGGAAGCCGAAAGGUGACCGACCCUUCGGGGAGCUUGCACAGGUGCUGCAUGGCUGUCGUCAGCUCGUGUCGUGAGAUGUUCGGUUAAGUCCGCUAACGAGCGCAACCCUCGCUGUGUGUUAUAUGUGUCACACGGGACUGCCGGUCUUAAGCCGGAGGAAGGUGGGGAUGAUGUCAAGCCAGCAUGGCCUUUAUAUCCUGGGCUACACACACGCUACAAUGGCCAACACAAUAGGUUGCUAAGCCGCGAGGUGGCGCCAAUCCAUAAAGUUGGUCUCAGUUCAGAUUGUAGGCUGCAACCCGCCUGCAUGAAGAUGGAGUUGCUAGUAACCGCAGGUCAGCUAUACUGCGGUGAAUACGUUCCCGGGGCUU
RNAcentral lists this ribosomal RNA (454 nucleotides) under uncultured Leptolinea sp. Its description in RNAcentral is "bacterial SSU rRNA". It matches the Rfam family "Bacterial small subunit ribosomal RNA", at positions 917 to 1381 of the family's 1533-position model. The record is from RNAcentral. Lineage: Bacteria; Bacillati; Chloroflexota; Anaerolineae; Anaerolineales; Anaerolineaceae.